UGAGACCUCGGGGCGCAGCAGUGGGGGAUAUUGCACAAUGGGGGAAACCCUGAUGCAGCGACGCCGCGUGGGUGAAGAAGCGCCUCGGCGCGUAAAGCCCUGUCAGCAGGGAAGAAAAUGACGGUACCUGAAGAAGAAGCCCCGGCUAACUACGUGCCAGCAGCCGCGGUAAUACGUAGGGGGCAAGCGUUAUCCGGAUUUACUGGGUGUAAAGGGGGCGCAGACGGCGAUGCAAGCCAGGAGUGAAAGCCCGGGGCCCAACCCCGGGACUGCUCUUGGAACUGCGUGGCUAGAGUGCAGGAGGG
This 305-nucleotide ribosomal RNA is filed under the name uncultured bacterium. Its description in RNAcentral is "bacterial SSU rRNA". It matches the Rfam family "Bacterial small subunit ribosomal RNA", at positions 333 to 656 of the family's 1533-position model. The record is from RNAcentral.